GAUGAAGAACGUAGUGAAAUGCGAUAAGUAAUGUGAAUUGCAGAAUUCAGUGAAUCAUCGAAUCUUUGAACGCACAUUGCGCCCAUUAGUAUUCUAGUGGGCAUGCCUGUUCGAGCGUCAUUUCAACCCUUAAGCCUAGCUUAGUAUUGGGAAUCGACUUUACUGUCGUUCCUCAAAUUCAACGGCGGAUUUAUAGCAAUCUCUGAACGUAGUAAUUUUUUUUCUCGUUUUUGAAAUACUAUAAACCUCAGCCGCUAAACCCCCAAUUUCUUAUGGUUGACCUCGGAUCAGGUAGGAAUACCCGCUGAAUUUAAGCAUAUCAAUAAGCGGAGGA
Molecule: unclassified non-coding RNA, 334 nt
Filed under: soil metagenome
Description: partial contains 5.8S ribosomal RNA, internal transcribed spacer 2, and large subunit ribosomal RNA
Rfam family: 5.8S ribosomal RNA (bases 1-120)
Source: RNAcentral